CCGGCAACUGGCGCGGCGGAACUACCGGCAGGCUUAUGUCCUGCCCAAUUCGGCGAAAUCGGCGCUGCUGCUGUUCUUCGCCGGCAUUCCCGAAC
Molecule: transfer RNA, 95 nt
Filed under: Betaproteobacteria bacterium
Lineage: Bacteria; Pseudomonadati; Pseudomonadota; Betaproteobacteria
Description: tRNA-Ile
Source: RNAcentral